AAACUGCGAAUGGCUCAUUAAAUCAGUUAUCGUUUAUUUGAUAGUACCUUACUACUUGGAUAACCGUGGUAAUUCUAGAGCUAAUACAUGCUGAAAACCCCGACUUCGGGAGGGGUGUAUUUAUUAGAUAAAAAACCAAUGCCCUUCGGGGCUCUUUGGUGAUUCAUGAUAACUUUUCAGAUCGCAUGGCCUUGCGCCGGCGACGGUUCAUUCAAAUUUCUGCCCUAUCAACUUUCGAUGGUAAGGUAUUGGCUUACCAUGGUUUCAACGGGUAACGGGGAAUUAGGGUUCGAUUCCGGAGAGGGAGCCUGAGAAACGGCUACCACAUCCAAGGAAGGCAGCAGGCGCGCAAAUUACCCAAUCCCGACACGGGGAGGUAGUGACAAUAAAUACUGAUACAGGGCUCUUUUGGGUCUUGUAAUUGGAAUGAGUACAAUUUAAACCUCUUAACGAGGAACAAUUGGAGGGCAAGUCUGGUGCCAGCAGCCGCGGUAAUUCCAGCUCCAAUAGCGUAUAUUAAAGUUGUUGCAGUUAAAAAGCUCGUAGUUGAACCUUGGGCCUGGCUGGCAGGUCCGCCUCACCGCGUGUACUUGUCCGGCCGGGCCUUUCCUUCUGGAGAACCUCAUGCCCUUCACUGGGUGUGCUGGGGAACCAGGACUUUUACUUUGAAAAAAUUAGAGUGUUCAAAGCAGGCCUUUGCUCGAAUACGUUAGCAUGGAAUAAUAGAAUAGGACGUGCGGUCCUAUUUUGUUGGUUUCUAGGACCGCCGUAAUGAUUAAUAGGGACAGUCGGGGGCAUCAGUAUUCAAUUGUCAGAGGUGAAAUUCUUGGAUUUAUUGAAGACUAACUACUGCGAAAGCAUUUGCCAAGGAUGUUUUCAUUAAUCAGUGAACGAAAGUUAGGGGAUCGAAGACGAUCAGAUACCGUCGUAGUCUUAACCGUAAACUAUGCCGACUAGGGAUCGGGCGAUGUUUCUAUCUUGACUCGCUCGGCACCUUACGAGAAAUCAAAGUUUUUGG
RNAcentral lists this ribosomal RNA (1018 nucleotides) under Corynespora cassiicola. RNAcentral describes it as "SSU rRNA". It matches the Rfam family "Eukaryotic small subunit ribosomal RNA", at positions 84 to 1110 of the family's 1831-position model. The record is from RNAcentral. Lineage: Eukaryota; Fungi; Ascomycota; Dothideomycetes; Pleosporales; Corynesporascaceae.